AGAGUUUGAUCCUGGCUCAGGGUGAACGCUGGCGGCGUGGAUAAGGCAUGCAAGUCGAAUGGGUUAGACCCAUGGCAGACGAGGUAGUAAUACGUAGGUACGUACCCCAGAGUUGGGCAUAACCAGUCGAAAGAUUGGAUAAUUCCCAAUAGUCUCGCGAGAGUAAAGAUUUAUCGCUUUGGGAGCGGCCUGCGGAGUAUCAGCUAGUUGGUAGGGUAAUGGCCUACCAAGGCUAUGACGCUUAGGGGAGCUGAGAGGCUGACCCCCACCGAUAGCACUGAGACACGGGCUAUACAUCUACGGAUGGCCGCAGUCGAGAAUCUUCGGCAAUGGGCGAAAGCCUGACCGAGCGACGCCGCGUGAUGGAUGAAGUCCUUCGGGACGUAAACAUCUUUUAUGAGGGAGGAAGUUUAUUGACGUUACCUCAUGAAUAAGUAGCUUCUAAACUCGUGCCAGCAGAAGCGGUAAUACGAGUGCUACAAGCGUUACCCGGAAUCACUGGGCGUAAAGGGUUUGUAGGCGGUUAUAUUAGUCUCUUGUUAAAACCCGGCGCUUAACGCCGGAUCUGCAGGAGAAACGGUAUGACUGGAGAGUGCGAGAGGUGAAUGGAACUCAUGGUGUAGGGGUGAAAUCCGUUGAUAUCAUGGGGAACACCAAAUGCGAAGGCAAUUCACUGGCGCAUUUCUGACGCUGAAAAACGAAAGCGUGGGGAUCGAACGGGAUUAGAUACCCUAGUAGUCC
Molecule: ribosomal RNA, 741 nt
Filed under: uncultured bacterium
Lineage: Bacteria
Description: bacterial SSU rRNA
Rfam family: Bacterial small subunit ribosomal RNA
Source: RNAcentral